GGGCCCGUAGCUUAGCAUGGUUGGAGCGCACGGCUGAUAACCGUGAGGUCACGCGUUCGAAUCGCGUCGGGCCCACCA
Molecule: transfer RNA, 78 nt
Filed under: Methanothrix sp.
Lineage: Archaea; Methanobacteriati; Methanobacteriota; Methanomicrobia; Methanotrichales; Methanotrichaceae
Also listed under: 9 other names
Description: tRNA-Ile
Rfam family: tRNA
About the family: Transfer RNA (tRNA) molecules are approximately 80 nucleotides in length.
Source: RNAcentral